This 74-nucleotide transfer RNA is filed under the name Rhipicephalus microplus (southern cattle tick). Its description in RNAcentral is "tRNA-Ala". It matches the Rfam family "tRNA". From Rfam's summary of the family: Transfer RNA (tRNA) molecules are approximately 80 nucleotides in length. Their secondary structure includes four short double-helical elements and three loops (D, anti-codon, and T loops). Lineage: Eukaryota; Metazoa; Arthropoda; Arachnida; Ixodida; Ixodidae. The record is from Rfam by way of RNAcentral.
GGCGCCGUGGCUUAGUUGGUUAAAGCGCCUGUCUAGCAAACAGGAGAUCAGUGAGUUCGAAUCUCACGGUGCCU